AGGCAUAGCUCAGCUGGUUAGAGCGCAGCCCUGAUAAGGCUGAGGUCGGUGGUUCAAGUCCACUUGCCUC
This 70-nucleotide transfer RNA is filed under the name bovine gut metagenome. It matches the Rfam family "tRNA". From Rfam's summary of the family: Transfer RNA (tRNA) molecules are approximately 80 nucleotides in length. Their secondary structure includes four short double-helical elements and three loops (D, anti-codon, and T loops). The record is from RNAcentral.